UACCCCCUGGCAAUGGGCAAAGAGACACCUUGUUGGUGGUGUUGUUCUUAUAUCAGUCAGGGGUAGAGCAGAUAGUAGCCCUUUGUUCAUCCUAGCUUGAUGCCUGGCUUGGUGGCCAAAGCUGUUUCAUGCCUAGGGCACAUUA
Molecule: small nucleolar RNA, 145 nt
Organism: Cricetulus griseus (Chinese hamster)
Lineage: Eukaryota; Metazoa; Chordata; Mammalia; Rodentia; Cricetidae
Product: small nucleolar RNA SNORA48
Source: Ensembl